This 492-nucleotide ribosomal RNA is filed under the name uncultured bacterium. RNAcentral's name for it is "partial 16S ribosomal RNA". It matches the Rfam family "Bacterial small subunit ribosomal RNA", at positions 29 to 507 of the family's 1533-position model. The record is from RNAcentral.
AGUGAACGCUGGCGGUAGGCCUAACACAUGCAAGUCGAACGGCAGCACAGUAAGAGCUUGCUCUUACGGGUGGCGAGUGGCGGACGGGUGAGGAAUACAUCGGAAUCUACUUUUUCGUGGGGGAUAACGUAGGGAAACUUACGCUAAUACCGCAUACGUCCUACGGGUGAAAGCAGGGGAUCUUCGGACCUUGCGCGACUGAAUGAGCCGAUGUCGGAUUAGCUAGUUGGCGGGGUAAAGUCCCACCAAGGCAACGAUCCGUAGCUGGUCUGAGAGGAUGAUCAGCCACACUGGAACUGAGACACGGUCCAGACUCCUACGGGAGGCAGCAGUGGGGAAUAUUGGACAAUGGGCGCAAGCCUGAUCCAGCCAUACCGCGUGAGUGAAGAAGGCCUUCGGGUUGUAAAGCCCUUUUAUUGGGAAAGAAAAGCAGCAGGUUAAUACCCCGCUGUUCUGACGGUACCCAAAGAAUAAGCACCGGCUAACUUCGUG